GCUAAUACCGUANUAAGCCCUUCGGGGGAAAGAUUUAUCGGGAAAGGAUGAGCCCGCGUUGGAUUAGCUAGUUGGUGGGGUAAAGGCCUACCAAGGCGACGAUCCAUANCUGGUCUGAGAGGAUGAUCAGCCACAUUGGGACUGAGACACGGCCCAAACUCCUACGGGAGGCAGCAGUGGGGAAUAUUGGACAAUGGGCGCAAGCCUGAUCCAGCCAUGCCGCGUGAGUGAUGAAGGCCCUAGGGUUGUAAAGCUCUUUCACCGGUGAAGAUAAUGACGGUAACCGGAGAAGAAGCCCCGGCUAACUUCGUGCCAGCAGCCGCGGUAAUACGAAGGGGGCUAGCGUUGUUCGGAAUUACUGGGCGUAAAGCGCACGUAGGCGGAUUGUUAAGUGAGGGGUGAAAUCCCAGGGCUCAACCCUGGAACUGCCUUUCAUACUGGCAAUCUAGAGUCCAGAAGAGGUG
This 464-nucleotide ribosomal RNA is filed under the name Sinorhizobium medicae. RNAcentral's name for it is "bacterial SSU rRNA". It matches the Rfam family "Bacterial small subunit ribosomal RNA", at positions 162 to 659 of the family's 1533-position model. Lineage: Bacteria; Pseudomonadati; Pseudomonadota; Alphaproteobacteria; Hyphomicrobiales; Rhizobiaceae. The record is from RNAcentral.